Molecule: ribosomal RNA, 477 nt
Filed under: uncultured bacterium
Lineage: Bacteria
Description: bacterial SSU rRNA
Rfam family: Bacterial small subunit ribosomal RNA
Source: RNAcentral
GACGAACGCNGGCGGCGUGCUUAACACAUGCAAGUCGAACGAAGAGCGAUGGAAGCUUGCUUCUAUCAAUCUUAGUGGCGAACGGGUGAGUAACGCGUAAUCAACCUGCCCUUCAGAGGGGGACAACAGUUGGAAACGACUGCUAAUACCGCAUACGAUCUAAUCUCGGCAUCGAGGAUAGAUGAAAGGUGGCCUCUACAUGUAAGCUAUCACUGAAGGAGGGGAUUGCGUCUGAUUAGCUAGUUGGAGGGGUAACGGCCCACCAAGGCGAUGAUCAGUAGCCGGUCUGAGAGGAUGAACGGCCACAUUGGGACUGAGACACGGCCCAGACUCCUACGGGAGGCAGCAGUGGGGAAUCUUCCGCAAUGGACGAAAGUCUGACGGAGCAACGCCGCGUGAGUGAUGACGGCCUUCGGGUUGUAAAGCUCUGUUAAUCGGGACGAAAGNCCUUNUNCGAACAGUAGAAGGAUGANGUAC